This 231-nucleotide long non-coding RNA is filed under the name Mustela putorius furo (domestic ferret). RNAcentral's name for it is "lncRNA (ENSMPUG00000024535.1)". The record is from RNAcentral. Lineage: Eukaryota; Metazoa; Chordata; Mammalia; Carnivora; Mustelidae.
CACUCAGGUGCCCAUGUCAUGUUUAUUUCUGGCUUUACAGGUCAUAGUCCUACUUUUUUUGAAUACUGUGCGCCUUGAAGGAGGGGAAGACCAAAAUUGCCAUCUUUAUAAUAGGGAGAUCCUGAUCAGUUGUGGAUAUCAUUUCUAAGAGUUAUUUCCUGGGGAAAGCAGAGUGGGUUGCUGAUUCAUUCACCUUGGCUUCCAGGUAAGUGGGGACCCCAUUCCUCUUGG